This 253-nucleotide ribosomal RNA is filed under the name uncultured bacterium. RNAcentral's name for it is "partial 16S ribosomal RNA". It matches the Rfam family "Bacterial small subunit ribosomal RNA", at positions 524 to 776 of the family's 1533-position model. The record is from RNAcentral.
GACGGAGGAUGCAAGCGUUAUCCGGAAUGAUUGGGCGUAAAGCGCGUGUAGGCGGCUUGGCAAGUCGGGUGUGAAAGCCCUGGGCUCAACCUAGGAAGUGCACUCGAAACUGCUUCGCUUGAGUGUCGGAGAGGAAGGCGGAAUUCUCGGUGUAGAGGUGAAAUUCGUAGAUAUCGAGAGGAACACCGGUGGCGAAGGCGGCUUUCUGGACGAUAACUGACGCUGAGACGCGAAAGCGUGGGGAGCAAACAGG